CAGUAGCCGCGGUAAUACGUAGGUGGCAAGCGUUGUCCGGAAUUAUUGGGCGUAAAGGGCUCGCAGGCGGUUUCUUAAGUCUGAUGUGAAAGCCCCCGGCUCAACCGGGGAGGGUCAUUGGAAACUGGGAAACUUGAGUGCAGAAGAGGAGAGUGGAAUUCCACGUGUAGCGGUGAAAUGCGUAGAGAUGUGGAGGAACACCAGUGGCGAAGGCGACUCUCUGGUCUGUAACUGACGCUGAGGAGCGAAAGCGUGGGGAGCGAACAGGAUUAGAUACCCCAGUAGUCCCUGUCCUUAUACA
This 301-nucleotide ribosomal RNA is filed under the name uncultured bacterium. Its description in RNAcentral is "partial 16S ribosomal RNA". It matches the Rfam family "Bacterial small subunit ribosomal RNA", at positions 509 to 809 of the family's 1533-position model. The record is from RNAcentral.